Non-coding RNA from Cordylochernes scorpioides, 13000 nucleotides. The record is from the annotation of a GenBank genome assembly. NCBI's taxonomy places the organism in Eukaryota, Metazoa, Arthropoda, Arachnida, Pseudoscorpiones, Chernetidae.
UUUUUAGCAGCAGCAGCCUUAGGCUUCUUUGCGGCUUUCUUCUCAGCUGCGGGCUUCUUGGGCUUGGCAGCCUUCUUUGGAGUCUUGACAGCCUUCUUGGCAGCAGCUGGCUUGGCGACCUUCUUCUUUUUCUUCUCACCAGUGGAGGCGGGCUUUGAAGAGCUGGCGAGGCGGAAGGAGCCAGAAGCCCCAACUCCUUUGGUUUGGGUCAGUGUUCCCGCUUCCACAGCCGAUUUCAGAUACUUCCUGAUGAAGGGAGCAAGGCGGUCCACGUCCGCCUUAUAGUUUGCUGCGAUGUACUUUUUGAUGGCCUGGGUAGAGGAGCCUCCCUUCUCCUUCAAGGUCUUGAUGGCCGUGGUCACCAUCUCUGAAACCUUGGGGUGGGUGGGAGCUGCCUUGGGCUUCUUGGGCUUGGCAGCCUUGCCUCCCUUGCCCUUUUUAGGGGAAGAAGAAGCUGGAGCAGCAGCGGUCGGGGUAGAAACUUCUUCAGUCAUGACUGGAAAAAUGUCGAGCGCCAGCUCCAAAUUGCCAAUUUUUAUGCCCUACCAUUGCGGCCGUCCAGGAGGACGCGCGGCGAUUUGGUUGGCUUGGAAGGCCGCUUCGGAAAUGUGCCUUAGUGUUUGUUUUGGUGCCCUAUUUGCAGCCCUAAUGGGCAUUUUUAUGGCCGACCGUGGAAGGCAUUCGAAAGAUUAGGCCUCGGGCUAUCCAAUGGUGUGUCUUUGGUGCCGUUUCGAAUGGUAUAAGGCUGUUGCCAACCCUCGUUUGAAAUAACGGGCGCCCGAUGAACCUGUGAAAUUCGAAUUCAAACUGAUCUUAAAAAUAGUCUGUUUGCAUUUGCGCUUCCUUUCCCCCCUCAAACUUAAAAGGAAGCUUUGUGCCUCCCAGAUCAACCUUAUUUUGUUCCAUUAGUGGAAGGAUUUCUGUUUUAGGGUCCUUCAAAGUUGGGAGGGUGACACACUCUCUUCCGGCUGCUCUCUCAAAAUAUUUAAACGGGAAUGCUAUAUAUUUCAGUCGCGGCUCCAAAAAUAUAUGGCUCACAUAUGAUGGGGGCAUAUCUGGUUGCUUGUAAGCCAUCUAAAAGGGAGCAUUAAGUCUUGCUUUCUUCUUCACCUUUUUUUUUCCCCUCCCUCAUUGCUCUUCUCUGAAGUGAAAAAGUUUGUGCCUUUACAAACAUAUGGAUAGUUUUAUAAGUCUAUUCAUUAAUACUGAUGUUGUUGUUCUUUCUUAUCCCCUUGUGUAAAGAUUACACAAAUUCCAUGAGUUCAUGCUCCUCGAGCUGUUUUAUGAUGAGCAGCGGCCUCUUCCAAAGGUCCUGUUUAGUGCUUUUAAUGCAAGCCAAAAUGUGUUCUGGAGCUGCAGGUACCAAACUACAUUUUGGGCAAGUGGGAUAAAUUUUGUUAUUAUUUUCUAUCUUCAAUGGCUUGAGAUGGCCUGUUCUAAAUCUUGUUAGUGUUGUUUGAUGCUGUCUAUUUCUGAUGUUCAGAGCUCCUCCUGGGUUCACUCCACUGUACCAACUGUGCUUAGGUGGGAUCCUCCAGUUCUUGUUUAUUUUUGUUUUGGCUAUUGUUUCUAUUUCUUUAAAAGUAAGUUUAUUUUUCUGUGGCAAGGGUUCUUUUGUGCCUUUUUUCGCUAGCACAUCAGCAGCUUCAUUGCCUUCAAUUCCAACGUGCGAGGGUAUCCAUUGAAGGUGAAUUUUUGAGGUUUUUGAUAGUUUUUGGAGAUAACCAAUUAUGUUCCUGCUUACUUUGUCUCUGAGUUCCCCUGUGUGACUCAAGUGUUGUAUGGCACUUCUACUAUCAGUAAGAAUCCAGAUAUCUUGAUAAAUAAUAUUUCUGAUGGAUUUUAAGGCUUCAUAGAUGGCUAUAAGUUCUGAUCUGAAGACUGAGCAAAAAUCUGUCAUCAGCGAAAAGUCCAAUAUUCGUUUUAUGUGAAAUUAUUUCUUCUAUGCCUGCAAUAAAUAGGGUGAAGAGAGUUGGGCUAAGGACUGAUCCUUGAGGUAAUCCUUGGUACAAUUUGAAGGUUUUGAUACUGAUGUUGAUGAUACUGAUGUAAUGUGUAAAAUACAUAUUUUAUCAAUUUGUUUCCCAUUCCAAAGCUGGUGCGGGUACCAGAAUGCUUUGCUCAUUACCAAUAAUGAAGCAAGGCCUUUUUUUUUCAUUUAUCUGUCACCCUGUGAUAUCUUUGGGUCUUUUAUUUUAUUUUAUUGCUCUUGUUGAUAUUUUUAGAGUGCCUGAACAUAUGCGCACACACAUUCCAAUAUACAUAUAUAGUGUGUGAUACUGCAAUAUACACAUAUUAAAUGUGUAUGCACACCCAAAUUUUUCUGUCAGGAGGUCCUUGGAAAACUGGCCUGGCUUUUUGAGGCAGUUUUCUACAAGGCACGGCAAUUUAACAAAAGCUCCAAAUUUACAAGUGCUUCUUUUGACCUUUCUUUUUGUGUAAAUCUUUAAUUUUGUAAAUAACUUUUUUUUACUCACUUUUUAAGCCAACAAUGAUCCGUUGAUUGUUAACUCUUUCAAAUUUCUCCUCCUUCGAAACACACAAACUCCUUGACCUAUUUAAACUUUUCCUAUCUUACUCAAAAAUAUGUGUCUCUCUCUAAAAUUACUUAGGGGCCCCCCAGAUAUUUGUUUUAAUGAUUUAGGUUUGCUUUUCUUUCUCAAUUUUUAAUUAUUAAUACGAUGUUGGUUAAUUAUUUAUUUGUUUUCGCAGAUAACAGUUGACCACUUGCUCCAAAAACACCGGAAGGAAUAUUUAAAGGUAAGUCUUGAGUUUGUUUUACCUAUAUAUAUAUAUAUAUAUUUUUUUUUUGUAAUUAUUUAUUUUGGUUUCUUUAUAUUGUGCCAUCUUUCAUUUGUUUUUGCACGGCAUUUGCAAUGUGAUUUGUAUCUGGUCAACCUUUCUUUCAAGCUUUUCUGGCCCUGAAAAGGGCCUUUUUUUUGGUUCCUUCUACUGGAUUUUGGGAGAUUUAACCUCCAAAACCGUAGAGGGUGCGUCCCUGGCGCUUGAGGGCAUAGACCACGUCCAUGGCGGUCACGGUCUUCCUCUUGGCGUGCUCGGUGUAGGUGACAGCGUCACGGAUCACAUUCUCCAGGAACACCUUAAGAACGCCGCGAGUCUCUUCGUAGAUGAGACCAGAGAUACGCUUCACACCACCCCUACGUGCGAGACGACGAAUGGCGGGUUUGGUGAUUCCCUGGAUAUUGUCACGAAGGACUUUGCGAUGGCGCUUGGCGCCACCCUUUCCGAGUCCCUUGCCUCCUUUGCCGCGUCCAGUCAUGAUUCAGAUGAGGCCAGCGCUGACUUGACAAUGGUUACAGCUAAUUGACCAAAUGGGAUGGCCUUCUAGCUCUACUAAUGGCUGAAAUGAAUCAGACUGACCACGGCAAACCAGCAUGCGGCGUCCAAUUUCAACCACUGCCCUCUAACCCUUGGGUGAUUAGAGACGGCGCUAGGUGAAAUCUCGACCACAAGCCAGCAGGCAAAGUACAAGUUUGACAUAGCAAAGUCCCCCGCGACAAUAACCAGGGAAUCACCAAGCCCACCACCCGACGCAACGCACGCAGAGGCGGCGCAAGACGCAUCUCCAACCCCAUCCGCGAAGAGAAACGAGGGGCCCCCAAGGUGCCCAUGGAGAGUGUGAAGCGUGCUGAUGCUGGAAGAACAAAGGUGAGUAUCCCUGGGUCAGAGGGAAAGAGAGGAAGAGGUUUCAAGUAAAGAAAGGUAGGCAAUUGCGAUAAGGUUGAUUUAAAAAUAAAAUAAAAAAUAAGAAAAAAGAGAGAGAGAAUUACUAGUAAUAAUAGAAUAAAGAAAAAAUAAAAAUAGCAAUAAUUGGAUAAAUAAAUAAGGAGAUAGGUGAGAAUAGUAGAAGAAUUAAAGUUAUAGUAUUAUUAAUAAAAAAUUAAGUAAGAUUAGAAAAAGAAAGAAUAAAGAUAUUUUAAUAAUUAUAGUGAGAAUAAAAUAAAGAAUUAAAGAAGGAAAAAGAUUUAGAAGAGCACAGGAUAGAAAAAAUCGAUAAAUAUAGAAGAGCACACAGCGCCUGGGGAUGUUGGUGUGGAACGCAAAAAAAAAAAAGGACCUUAUCAAAGGAGCCAGAAAAUUUUUUUUUUUUUUUUCUCUGAGGAGAAAGUAUUCCAGAGUGCAAAAACUGGUGGUACUAAACCGCACCUUUUGCCAACCAAUGAAAAUGAGCGGCCGCCAGACCAUAAAACCCCCGGUUGUGACGUCGCGCGAUUAAUCGACCAAUCAGCGAGCGGCGUACAAUUUCAACCGCUGCCCUCUAAACCUUGGGUGAAUAGAGACGGCGCUUGGUGAAAUCCCGACCACAAGCCAGCUGGCAAAUUAAAAGUUUGACACCGCAUACAUAAUUAGUGAUACACGCAUAUGCAGGUAAAACACUGAUGCAAAGUUUAGGUGGAAUUAGAGUCGGGAAUCUCCUCUGACUCCACCUCUCGGAUCCGCGGUCUCAGCCUGUCGCAAGCCAGGAGAAAAUCGAUACAGGCUCGCCAGGUUAAACAACUGUGAGUGAAGUCGCGGAGCGCCCUCGGUGUGUAACCGAGUUCCCUCCCCGCUAUAAAAAAUAGACGAGUUCUGAGGGAGUCCAGACUGUCACACUCGAGCAUGAUAUGAUCCAGAGUUUCCUCCGCUCCAGAGUCACAAAAAGGGCAGAUAGGAUCAUCAAUGAAUCCAUAUCUGUGAGCAAAGCUGUCUGUCCAUGUGUGACCAGUCAGUAGGCCAAUCACGGCGUGGACACUGGGGACGAUGUACGCAUGUUUUUUGUCCAAGAGACUCAUUGGAGAAAGGCCAAAGCGGGUGAAGAUUCUGCGCUCGGCGGAGAUGAAUCUGUCCUGCCAAGCCGCCCACGCCCGCUUGUAGAUUAUCGAUUUAAGUUUCGACAGCGGUGCGAGGCGAUAGCAGCUCGGGAGAUCAGAUUCCGCCCCGCGUUUCGCGAGCACAUCAGCUACCUCAUUACCAAAAAUCCCGCUGUGGCCCUUGAUCCAUUGUAUGGUACAUCUGUUCCCAUUGCGGUUCAGUUGUGAAAUCAGCAACAGGGCUCUGUUUACCAGGAGGUUGCCAGUUCUGGUGUUUAGAACGGAUUUCACAACUGAGAGGUUAUCCAGGAGAAUUUCAAUGGUGUAAUUGUCGGGAAGCUUUGAGGCGUCCUCAAGUGCUUUAAUCAAGCCAAGUGCCUCCGCUUGGAAGACAGAACAGUACGGGGACAGGACAAAACUCUCACGCAAUUCAUUCAUUGAGCCAUUCGCACACACUCUAUAUAGGCCUGUGCCAACUCCAGUUUUAGUCUUGGAACCAUCUGUGUAGUAGGUGACGUCAGCCGAAAGAUCAGGAAUAUUAAUGGGAGCGGAGUAAUAGGGAGGAUAGGGAAGUGGGUGAGGGCAGGGAGGAGGUUCGACUGGAAAAUCGUCGUCAACAAAACUGUGCUUUUUAAAGUACAAUUCCGCUUUGGCGCCGACAUCCAGAUCGAGAGGGAGAACACGGGAAAGAGAGAUGAGAGAGCAAGAGUCAGUUGUUUUAAACGCGCGGCAUGUCCUGAUGAGGAACGGGCGCUGCGCGCUUAAGAGAGUAUCUAAAGAGCGUUGUUUUAGAUUAGGAAACCACACAGGAGAGGCGUAAGAAAUGGCUGGGACCACAACCUGUAGAUAGAGCAUCCUCAGGGCACGGAAACCAAAGCCAAAAUUGGAGUUGGCGGCUGCAGUCAAACGCGGGAGAAAUCCGCGGACUCUGGUGCAAACCUCAAUCACAUGCUGGUGAAAGGAGAGGCGCCGAUCAAACCUUACUCCCAGCACUUUGAUUGAGUCGCUCCAUUGAAUGGGUUGACCAUUAAUGGUUAGAUCGCAGCUAGGUUUUAGUAGCCUGCCAGUACGUCUUAGAAGGAGCAUGGCCUGACACUUCCUCACGCUGAGUUCCAAUUUAUGCAGGCCACACCACCUCGUGAUCUCAUUAAUGGCAAGUUGCGCCGCUCCAAAUUGCUGAGUAACUUGGCCAGACACUACCAUAACAAGAUCGUCGGCGUAGGCCUGCGGGUGUACACAUUUUUUAAAGUUGAGCGUGAGGAGCUCGUCAAAGACAAGGUUCCAAAGAAACGGCCCAAGAACUGAGCCCUGCGGGCAGCCUUUGGAAACCUGCCUCGUGACCGUGCAACCAUUCAUAGACAGUCUGACAACACGGUUAAAAAGGAAGGAGCGAAUCAGAACAAACAGGUUUUUAGGACAAUCAUUCAUACACAGAGCUCGCAAUAUGCUGGAGUGUAGCACAUUGUCGAAAGCGCCUUUCACAUCAAAGGAAAGUAGAAUAGUAGAUUUUCUAUGUUGAAGCGACCGGGAGAGAUUAUUUUUUAAAUUUAGAAGUGCGGCGACAGUAGAUCUGCAGGGCCUGAAACCGAACUGGUUUGGCUGGGCUUUACACAUCCUCUCUGCUCGCCACGAGAGCCUGGCCAGGAUAAGACGCUCUAGAAUUUUACCUAAGCCAGGCAGCAUCGUGAUGGGCCGAUGAGACGCGAGAAAGUCCUCACCACCUUUUUUGGGAAUGAGUAUGACAUCACCCAGUUUCCAAGGGGUUGGAAAGUGUCCAGUUUCAAAGCACUUAUUAAAGAUCUUUAAAAAGAACGUCGGGAAUUUUUUUAUUAAUUUAACAAUGACUAAAGGUGGCAUACCAUCACUGCCAGGAGCAGAAGUAAGGCUAACCUUAUCCGCAGCCAGUAACAGUUCUGUUUCUGAGAACGGUGGGUCGUUUUCAGAGGUGGACUGCACGGCUUUAUGUAAAUUAACAUGCUCUACUGUUAUAUCGGGCGGGACGCGGCCGAAGUAAUGUUUUAAUACGUGUUCUAGAGUGUCCCGCGGACUGUCAGUGAGAUCAUCGCCAACCAGGAGAGAGGAAAGAGGCUUCCUCUUGGUGGAGCCUUUAAUAAAUUUAUAAACGCCGCCCCAGGGGUUAACCUCGCAAAGCGAACAGAUCCUUCUCCAUUCAGCAGAUUUCGCGUGCCUGAUAGAGGUGCGGAAUCUAUUAUAUAAUUUCUUAUAAAAUAUUUUCAACACGCUUCUAACAGGCCCACGAGCUUUUCUCCAGGCUCGUUCAGCUUUUUGAGUAACCUUUUGGAGCGGAUUUAGUUCAGGUUUCCACCAAGUGGGUUUCUUAAAAAAAAAAUUAUUGGUGGCAGGUUUAGAGGGAAUGGUUUGUAGACACGAAUGAAACACCUCGUCUUUUAGUAAAUUAAUUACUUCAUCGACUUGAGUUGUGUCACUCGCAUCCAUUAAGGAUGAAAUUUUAAAAAUUUUUUUUUUAAAGCUGGAAAAAAAAAAAUCCCAGUCGGCGCGACCAAAGCUGAAGUUUACUUCGCUAAAGUUGUUUACAUGUAUAUCACUAUUGUUGUUAGAAGAGAGGGGUUCUAAAUUAACGUUAAACACGAGGCGUUUAUGGUCAGAUAAAGCCUGGUUGAUAGCGUCCCAAUCGGUGACCUUGUCCGCGAGGCCGGCAGAACAACACGUGACGUCGAUGGAGGAAGAUUGAUCUCCCUCCUCCCACGUGACCGUGCCAUGUUUGUUGACGACGUGGAAUAAAUUCGCGUCAAUGAAGUUUUCGAUGUUAUCUCUCUUGGAGCAAUUGUAUUUAAGCAACCGCGCUUUAUUUGACCAUCUAUAUGAUUCAAUAUUAAGGUCGCCGCAAAAAAUCACCUCGUGGAAAUUAAUUGUUUUUAAAGAGUUGUCUAUCCUAUCAAGAAGAGCUUCAGAACAACAUGAUGGUGAAAGAUAGACAGUACACAGAAGGAUUGUCAAGUCAUUCACUUCGCACAGGACAAAUACAGCAUUCACACAAGACAAGUGAGAUAAAUGUAAAAAUUUUAAAUUCGGAUUUGCUAUUAUUACAGCAGCUCCCAAUUUAUUUUCAAUAAUAGGACCGUGGCAAACCCUGUCAAGGGGCACUGGUAAUGAGGGUAAGCUGUUUUUAGAAACUGGGAGUUCUUGCAAUAAUAGCACAUCCGAUUUUUCCUCGCGACAUUCAUUCAACAAUGAGUACAAACAAUAUGGAGAGCGUCUUACAUUGGCUUGUACACACUUAAUAACGUUCAUUUUACCCAUAAUUUAUUGAAAUUGUCCUGUGCCUCCCGCAUGUGUUUACACGCCAUGGAGUUGGCACUGUGUUUGUCACCACACCUGUGACAUUUUAAAGCUGUUUUAUUUUCACAUGCUUCGGAAAGAUGUGCACCAGCGCAGUGGCUACAUUUAGCCGCCCUAGUGCACUUCUUUCCGUCGGUGUGGGUUUUGUGACUUAGACAGCCACAGACACCACAUGGAAAGACGCGCUUUGCUCUAGCGAGUCUGAGCGAGAGGAAGUUGAUCGUGAUCCUACCACGCUCGAGCAGGACAGUCUCAAUAUCCCUGUUGACCUCAAUUAUUGCGGUGGAGUUGGCACCCUCUUUUUUAAUUAAUUUCACCAUCCUGAUGAAAUCGCCGCUUUUCAGCAGCGGUACAACAGCGGGAUGGUUACUGAUAUCAGCCACAAGUUGCUCUUCAGUAAUCUCUCCGGGAAUACCAAAGAUGGCAAGCCUGGGCUUGAAUGUAGGGUUUGUUUGGACUUUAAGUCCACCAAUGUUGGCGGACUUAACGUUGUCCACAAACCUCUGUUUCUCAGAGGGGUUGGCGAAGUGGAGGACAAGUUUUUUGUCCCCCCCUGUCACCGCGGCUACAUCGCAGUUCUUUAGACUGGGCGUCUGGGCGAUUUUAGCCCUGAUCUCGCUAACAGAGAGGUUCGCGGAAGCGAGCUUUACGUGAUUAGUGCUGUUACGCAGCAUAUGCGCGUAACUAGGUUUGGAUGGUUUGGCAGGCUUAGCACCUGCAUUGGCUGGCGGGGUGACUUUAGUCACCGCUGGAGUUGGUUUGGGAGAAGGAGCAACGGUUGUACUUUUAGUGGCUGCUAGCUCAGCUCUAAUUUCUGCAACUCUGAGGUCGCAGCCCUUCAGCUUACGCUGAAGGAUGCCCACUACGGUGUUCUGAAGUUGGGAGAGCAGCUUAUCCAUUUCAGCAUAAAGGUGUUUAUUUUGUGGGGAGCCUAGAUCCCCGCUAAGCCUUAACCCUACUUCAUGUUGUAGGAUUUGGUGGCAUCCUUUAAAUGAGGUGUCUAUUUCUUCCCACCCCUCCCUAAAAGCUGUGUUAGAGUUUAUGGCAGAAGGUGGAGAAGGAGUAGAAGGAGUGACCCAGGAAGACUCACCCAGAGUUGGGGCAGAAGAAGCGGAGGUAUCCGCCGCCAUAAUGAGAUAAUCCACGAGCAAGAAGAACAAUCCAAGAGCAAUCCAAGAGAAAGAGUGAUCCAGUGAUGUGUGCACAGUUUGGUGUCAGGGACGCGAAUGAGAGGAGAGGCCAGCGCUUAAUGAGUAGUACAAUUUGUUCCGCCUUCUACAUGCUAUUCGAGAAGCAUUUUAAGGCAACAACAGGUCGCAGAAAGGGCGCGAAGCGCCCCGAGGUGGAGGAGGCAGGGGCAAGAAGAUCAAGGAUCUGGCAGGGGGGGGGAGGAAGCUGGAGAGGUCAGGGAAGCAGCGCCAAGAAGAGAGAGAAGCCCGGAAGGUGGCCAGUUGAGGUGGCAGGAGGCCCUGGAAGCCUAGAACUUGAGGGCUCUAAGCUUCAAGGUGGGGCAGCUCGAGGCUCUCGCCUCGUGCUUGUCAGAGAGGCCCUUGGCACAGCAGUUGGCGCACUUGGAAGUGCGCCGGUCGGCAGCGGAGGGGCAGGCGCGGCCUUCGUGGCCGCCAUCACCGCAGUGGAAGCACUUGGAGUCUCUGGUGCAUUGGGCGGAAUUGUGGCCGAAGCCACAACAGCGGAAGCAGAGCCGUGCGCGGAUGGACUCCUCGAAGUUGAGAAGCACUCCGUCCACCACGAUCCUUCCGCGGUUGCCCAGAGCUCUGAAGGUGUCGAGGUCCACCUCGAUGAAGGCGGUGCAGGUCCCGUUUCUGGGAGCAGAACGGUGCGCUACGCGCACCACCUUGUCCCCAGGUAGUUGGCUGACAGCAGGAGUCCUCAACAGCGUCUCCUCAAUGGUGGAGUUGGACGUAUCCUCCUCCACUUUGAAGAGGCAGAUGCGAGGCAGGAGCACCUUCUGUUGGCGGACCUUCAUGCCUUGCAGCUUGUUGGUCAGGGAGGUGGUGACAGCCGGGAUGGUGUCGGGGUUGCUGGAGUGGAGGACAAGCUUCCCUUUGGUCCGCAGGGAGGCCCAGACACCUUGGGGAAGAGUGUGGGCAGCGCGGACGGCUUUGAGCAUGGCUCUAGGGUCAGCUUGUGGGUCAUCAGAGAUGACCACUGUGUGGGCCGCCGAUUUAUCCCCAUGGAGGACCACUGGGGCGGCCGCAGGCUUGGGGACGCGGGUGGGCGCAGGUUUGGCGGGUCCUUUGAGGUUGGUCCUCUUUGCGGGCGGGCAGGGAGCCUCUGGCUGCUUCCUUUUGGUUGGAGCCGGAGUGGCGGGCUCAGUGGAGUCGGUCUGGGAGCUGGUGUCCUUGCAGGAAGGAGCAGGGCUGGUUUGAGUGCUCUGGCAGGCACUCUGCGGUUUGAAAUCGUCCAGUUCCUUGAAGGACGCGAGGGUGCCAGAGAGGUUCUCAACCUCGGCGAGGAGGGCCUUGAUCUGCUUGUUCCGUAGUUUGAUGAGAUCAGUAAUGACUAGGGACAGGCGAUUUUGGCAGGUGGGUUCAGGAUACAUUAACGCCUUCGCAGCGUCGUCCAUCGCCUCUUCAUUCUCCAACUCCAGUUGGGCGAGGGUCACGAGGUGCUUUGCGGCGACCUCGGCAGUCCUCUUCUUCUUCCUAGUGGGGGCCAUGGCAGGAGCGAGCGCAAGAGGGGAGAGAUGUUCGCAGGUAGAGAGCUAGCGGCGAACUCGCCAGCGCUUAAUGAUGACAAUUGUUCCGCCUUCUACAUGCUAUCAGGUUAGCAUUCUAAGGCACAAAUCAACAUUGGGGGUCACCGUGAGCCCGCCGCACUGGAGGGCCAAGGAGAGGGCUGGAGAGACGCCGGCGGAGCCGUGGGCGCCCCGGGGGAGAAGAGGGCGAGAGCGCGGAUAGUGAGGGAACCAAGGCGACACCAAGCACUGCUCCAGGCCCGAGCAAGUGGUCUACGCCCUAGAGCGCCAGGGACGCAACCUCCACGGCACUGGAGGUUAAGAUUAUACUAUAUUAUCUAUUAAAUAUUAAUUUUUUUUUUUUUUUUCCAAGCAAACAAAAUUACAAAUGGGAGGUACAAGCAAAGACAAGGGCAAGAUCAGCGGGGGAAAGGGUUAUAUACAGAAGGAACAAGCGAGGCAAACAAACAAAAAGAGAGGUCCAAAAAGAAAGAGGGCAAGAGAAGGUAAGGUGUGGGUGUGAGCAGAAGAGAUAGGGGAGAUAGGGUAUGUACAGGGGGAGGUGGGAGCGUGGACCAAAGAGUAAAAAAGAAAAACAAAAGCUAUGUACAAAAAGUGGCAACAGUCCACAGUUCAGGGAGGCGUAAUGGUUGUGUUGGCAACAGUCCAAGAGGUUGAGGGGUGAGAUGUAAGGGGGGGGUGAGGGCGAGUGAGGGGUGUGAGGGAGGGUUGUGUUAAGUGUCAGAGUCGGAACUGGGUUGAGGGAUGUUGGAUGGGGUGAAUCUGUUUGAGUGGGUGGCGAAGUCUAAGGUGUGGGCCCAGGCUUUACCAGAGGAGAAGAGCUGAGGGAGAGAAGUGGGGAUGUGACCGAGGUCGGACAGGCAUUUUUUGAAAAAGGUGGCACGGAGGGGGUCAAGGUUUGGGCAAUCAAAAAAGACGUGAUCAAUGGUUUCAGGGGCAAGGUUACAGUGGGGACAGGUGGGGUCGAAGGGGGGAGGGGUUUUCUUGUGGGGGAAAGCGGCUAUGAAAGUAUGGCCAGUGAGAAGACCGGUGGCGAUGGCGGAACUUGGGAGAAGGAAGCUGUGGGAGGAGGAGAGUGAGCUAGGGGAAAGGCCAAGUUUGAGAAAGAAGGUGGGCUUGGCGGAGAUGAAUUCCUCAUCCCAAAGGGACCAAAAGUGGCGGGAGAGGAAUUUGUGGUGGGCAGUUUUAGGGGCGAGGGUGUAUUGUGGUGGGAGAGAAGGGGCAGCGGUGGCGCAUUUGGCGAGGGUGUCGGCUUGGCAGUUGCCAAGAUUGCCGGAGUGGCCUUUGACCCAGUGGAGGGUGAGGUUGCGGGAGGGGAGGAGGGAGUAGAGGAGGGUUUGGCAUUGGGCUACGAGGGGGUGAGGGGAGUGGGGGGAAGAGAGAGCGGAGAGGAGGGAGAGACAGUCGGAGGAGAUGGCGGCGGAGAGGGAAGGGGGGAGGCUGCAGAGGUCAGAGAGAGCGGACCGAAAGGCAAAGCAUUCGGCCUGGAAAACUGAGCAGUGGGAGGCCAAGGGAAUGGAGAGGCAGAGGGGAGGAAAGCUAGAGGAGAGGGGAGAAGAGGAGAACCUGGCAACGCCAGCCCCAACGCCGCUCCGCGACUUGGAGCCGUCUGUGUAGUAGUCGAGGUCGGGAGCGGAGGGGGGGAGAAGUGAGAAGGAGAGGUCGGGGAGGAGUGGGGGAGAGGGGAAAAGGAAAGGGGAAGGGGGGGAUUCGGGGGUGAAGGGAAGAGGGUCGGGGGGGCGAAGGAGGGAGGAGAGGAGAAGGACCUUGAGGUCGAGGGGAAGGACGCGAAGGAGGGCGAUGGCUGUGAGGGUAGGGACCGUGCGAAAACCCCGAAUGGCGUGGACGCAGAACUUGCGCUGGAGAGAGCGAAGGCUGGCCUUGCCGAUGCGGUAUUUGACUGCCUCGCACCAGAUGGGGGCGGCGUAGGUGAUGGCGGGCUCGACGACGCUGCAGUAGAAACGUCUCCUGGCGACGUAGCCGAGCCCGGAGAUGGUGUUGGAGCACCUGGAGAGCCUACCGAGGAAGGAGGAGGCCUUAUCGCAGACGCGAUGAAGGUGAGGGGUGAAGGAAAGACGCUCAUCGAAGGUGACGCCGAGGAUGGUCAGAGUAUCAGGACAGGUGAGGGGGGUGUUAUCGAUGGUAAGAU